UCGGGAAUUUUGCACAAUGGCCGAAAGGCUGAUGCAGCAACGCCGCGUGAGCGAAGAAGGCCUUCGGGUUGUAAAGCUCUGUUGCCUGCGAAGAAGGGCCCUGUCAGGAAAUGGGCGGGGUUUGACGGUAGCAGGCGAGGAAGCCCCGGCAAACUACGUGCCAGCAGCCGCGGUAAUACGUAGGGGGCGAGCGUUGUCCGGAAUUACUGGGCGUAAAGGGCGUGUAGGCGGCCUGUUAAGUCAGGGGUGAAAGACCGGGGCUCAACCCCGGGGGUGCCUCUGAAACUGGCGGGCUUGAGUGCUCUAGAGGGCAGUGGAAUUCCCGGUGUAGCGGUGAAAUGCGUAGAGAUCGGGAGGAACACCAGUGGCGAAGGCGGCUGACUGGGGAGUCACUGACGCUGAGGCGCGAAAGCUAGGGGAGCAAACAGG
This 429-nucleotide ribosomal RNA is filed under the name Bacillota bacterium. RNAcentral describes it as "Firmicutes bacterium partial 16S ribosomal RNA". It matches the Rfam family "Bacterial small subunit ribosomal RNA", at positions 355 to 776 of the family's 1533-position model. The record is from RNAcentral. Lineage: Bacteria; Bacillati; Bacillota.